AGUGAACGCUGGCGGUAGGCCUAACACAUGCAAGUCGAACGGCAGCGCAGUAAGAGCUUGCUCUUACGGGUGGCGAGUGGCGGACGGGUGAGGAAUACAUCGGAAUCUACUUUUUCGUGGGGGAUAACGUAGGGAAACUUACGCUAAUACCGCAUACGACCUACGGGUGAAAGCAGGGGAUCUUCGGACCUUGCGCGAUUGAAUGAGCCGAUGUCGGAUUAGCUAGUUGGCGGGGUAAAGGCCCACCAAGGCGACGAUCCGUAGCUGGUCUGAGAGGAUGAUCAGCCACACUGGAACUGAGACACGGUCCAGACUCCUGCGGGAGGCAGCAGUGGGGAAUAUUGGACAAUGGGCGCAAGCCUGAUCCAGCCAUACCGCGUGGGUGAAGAAGGCCUUCGGGUUGUAAAGCCCUUUUGUUGGGAAAGAAAAGCAGCAGGUUAAUACCCCGCUGUUCUGACGGUACCCAAAGAAUAAGCACCGGCUAACUUCGUG
RNAcentral lists this ribosomal RNA (492 nucleotides) under uncultured bacterium. RNAcentral describes it as "partial 16S ribosomal RNA". It matches the Rfam family "Bacterial small subunit ribosomal RNA", at positions 29 to 507 of the family's 1533-position model. The record is from RNAcentral.